CCAACAGGGAUUCCCUUAGUAAGUGCGACUGAACCGGGAAGAGCCCAGCGCAUAACCUCGUACGAGGGGUGUUGCGUUCCGGAGGGUCUGGCACACCAUUCUACUGCUAAGUCUCGCUUGAAGGCGGCCACUAACCAUGGAGGGUGACAGUCCCGUAUGGCAGCCCGUGAGGGUUAUUGUGGAUGGUGGAAAGGGCCUUCUGUAGAGUCGGGUUGCUUGAAAUCGCAGCCCAAAGUAGGUGGUAAACUCCAUCUAAGGCUAAAUAUGACCACGAGA
This 276-nucleotide ribosomal RNA is filed under the name Anoplonida inermis. RNAcentral's name for it is "partial 28S ribosomal RNA". It matches the Rfam family "Eukaryotic large subunit ribosomal RNA", at positions 65 to 333 of the family's 3401-position model. The record is from RNAcentral. Lineage: Eukaryota; Metazoa; Arthropoda; Malacostraca; Decapoda; Munididae.